RNAcentral lists this ribosomal RNA (223 nucleotides) under Lactobacillus delbrueckii subsp. bulgaricus. Its description in RNAcentral is "partial 23S ribosomal RNA". It matches the Rfam family "Bacterial large subunit ribosomal RNA", at positions 1872 to 2094 of the family's 2925-position model. Lineage: Bacteria; Bacillati; Bacillota; Bacilli; Lactobacillales; Lactobacillaceae. The record is from RNAcentral.
AAAGGUUAAGAGGAGAGCUUAGCGCAAGCGAAGGUUUGAAUUGAAGCCCCAGUAAACGGCGGCCGUAACUAUAACGGUCCUAAGGUAGCGAAAUUCCUUGUCGGGUAAGUUCCGACCUGCACGAAAGGUGUAAUGAUUUGGGCACUGUCUCAACGAGAGACUCGGUGAAAUUAUAAUACCCGUGAAGAUGCGGGUUACCCGCGACAGGACGGAAAGACCCCAU